UACGUAGGGUGCAAGCGUUAUCCGGAAUUAUUGGGCGUAAAGAGCUCGUAGGCGGUGUGUCGCGUCGGCCGUGAAAACCUGCAGCUUAACUGUGGGCGUGCGGUCGAUACGGGCAUCACUGGAGUUCGGCAGGGGAGACUGGAAUUCCUGGUGUAGCGGUGAAAUGCGCAGAUAUCAGGAGGAACACCGGUGGCGAAGGCGGGUCUCUGGGCCGAUACUGACGCUGAGGAGCGAAAGCGUGGGGAGCGAACAGG
RNAcentral lists this ribosomal RNA (254 nucleotides) under uncultured bacterium. Its description in RNAcentral is "partial 16S ribosomal RNA". It matches the Rfam family "Bacterial small subunit ribosomal RNA", at positions 524 to 776 of the family's 1533-position model. The record is from RNAcentral.